RNAcentral lists this long non-coding RNA (594 nucleotides) under Citrus x clementina. RNAcentral's name for it is "Citrus clementina (C. clementina) long non-coding RNA (CCLE_LNC001489)". Lineage: Eukaryota; Viridiplantae; Streptophyta; Magnoliopsida; Sapindales; Rutaceae. The record is from RNAcentral.
AUAAUCAGUUCAUAGAAUUGAAGUCUCAUUCUUAAUCCAUAAGAAUGAGAUUCAUUCAAUCCAAUUCUUAAACUCUUAGCUUUAGAAUUAAACACAUGGAAUGAGAAUGAUUCCUCGUUCUCAUUUCCCAAUCGCCAAAAGUAAAACACGAAAUUUAAAAUAAAGGGGAAAAAAAAUCUAUAGAACAUCUAAUGAGUAAUGACACAUUAAUACAUAAUUGAAUUUUGCAUUUAUUUUAAUUUGAUAAUAAUUAAUAAAAUAGCUCUGACAGAUCGGUGAGGGUCUUGACCAACCCUUGAACGGUCAACGGCUCUCUUUCCAGCAUUAAAAGCCAAGAAAGGUCGUACCCCUCAGCCACGUGUCCAGAUUAGGUUUCUCUAUUUAUUCCUCUUUUUCAAGACACAUCAAAUAAAGCUGUUUUCUCUCUAACAAUGAUAUUGAAGUCUCAAUUAAUCCCACAAUUCGCAAAUCACACACACUCAAUCUCACACUAUUCUCUCAUCCCCAGCUUUGAUACAAAAUACAAAGAAUAAUGCCACACAUUUUUAUUUUUUUAUUACAAAAAACAAUUCUAAAUGAAGUAGUACUCAUCAA